Long non-coding RNA from Anolis carolinensis (green anole), 792 nucleotides. RefSeq lists it as uncharacterized. The transcript has 2 exons. Lineage: Eukaryota; Metazoa; Chordata; Lepidosauria; Squamata; Anolidae. The record is from RefSeq and is a predicted model, not a curated record.
GUCACUCAGCGCCGGGUCAGAGCACGGAUUCGAAUCACGGCGCCCGCGGGGAAGGCGUCGCCUGGCUGGCUGGCUGGUUGCUAAGGAGGCAGCAUCACGUGACGGGCGCUGGGCUGCAUCUCCAGGGUCCUGCUGGUAGUCAGCUGGGCAUCAGCUGAGGAAGGGAGAAGGGUGGCCUUGCAGGCCCAGCUGGAGGCUGUUGGAGGAAGGAAGACCUCUUAUUCUUGCAAAAGCUUGGAAUAUCACUGGCAGAGGGUCAUACAGGAUCAGACUGGGCCACAGGUUUCGCAUCCUAUUCUUGACUGAUAUCACAGAGACUUCUUUCCAGAUAUAUUUAGCUAUAACAUUUCUCCUUCCCUUCUGCAAAGCAAAAGAAAUAGCUUUCCCAGUUAAUAUUUCUUCUAUGUUUAAACAGAAAGAAGCAUACUUGGGCAGAAUAAUAUUUACUGAGUUCUUAUAGCAACUACAAAAUUGUCAAUAAAACAUUUGGACUGAGCAGAAUGUAAUGAACACACAGGGAGAGCUCAUAAUUCUGACAGAAGAUAUGGAGAUACAAUCAGUUUACUUGCAGAAGAGGCAACAGGAUAACGACUUCAGACAUGUAUUAGGAAUUUGUUGCUUUUGUUGUUCCAAGAGGGCAGUGGAAAGCUGGAGAACAAGACCAUCACCCCAGAAUUUCCAGUAUAUGUCUUUUAGAUAAAGUUUGUUAAAAUAGUAACUGACAAACUAUAAUAAGGAAAAUUUACUAUAAAUUCUUUUAGUUUCAGGUGAUAAAAAUUGAUAUUGAAAACA